UACGGGGGGGGCAAGCGUUGUUCGGAAUUACUGGGCGUAAAGGGCUCGUAGGCGGCCAACUAAGUCAUACGUGAAAUCCCUCGGCUUAACCGGGGAACUGCGUCUGAUACUGGAUGGCUUGAGUUCGGGAGAGGGAUGCGGAAUUCCAGGUGUAGCGGUGAAAUGCGUAGAUAUCGGGAAGAACACCCGUGGCGAAGGCGGAUCUCUGGGCCAUUACUGACGCUGAGGAGCGAAAGCGUGGGGAGCGAACAGG
This 253-nucleotide ribosomal RNA is filed under the name uncultured bacterium. RNAcentral describes it as "partial 16S ribosomal RNA". It matches the Rfam family "Bacterial small subunit ribosomal RNA", at positions 524 to 776 of the family's 1533-position model. The record is from RNAcentral.